UCGCGGGAAUCCCAGCAAUGGGGGAACCGGCGUAAGGGGCAGUAAGGCGUGGGUACCUGCCCCGGGGUCCGGGAUAGCCGUCCGAGAGGGCGGGUAAUACCGGAUGACCUCGGGAGAGCAAAGCUAAGGCGCCCCGGGAGGGGCCCACGUGGUAUUAGGUCGUUGGCGGGGUAACGGCCCACCAAGCCUGAGAUGCCUAGCGGGUGUGAGAGCACGACCCGCGCCACUGGCACUGAGACACUGGCCAGACACCUACGGGUGGCUGCAGUCGAGGAUCUUCGGCAAUGGGGGAAACCCUGACCGAGCGAUGCCGCGUGUGCGACGAAGGCCUUCGGGUUGUAAAGCACUGUCGAGGGGGAGAAAACCCCGCAAGGGGCUGAUCUAUCCCUGGAGGAAGCUCGGGCUAAGUUCGUGCCAGCAGCCGCGGUAAGACGAACCGAGCGAACGUUGUUCGGAAUCACUGGGCUUAAAGGGCGCGUAGGCGGGCUGCCGCGUCCGGGGUGAAAGCCUCCCGCUCAACGGGAGAACGGCCUCGGAUACGGGCGGCCUCGAGGGGGGUAGGGGCGUGCGGAACUGUGGGUGGAGCGGUGAAAUGCGUUGAUAUCCACAGGAACUCCGGUGGCGAAGGCGGCACGCUGGACCCCAUCUGACGCUGAGGCGCGAAAGCCAGGGGAGCGAACGGGAUUAGAUA
RNAcentral lists this ribosomal RNA (691 nucleotides) under uncultured Planctomycetia bacterium. RNAcentral describes it as "bacterial SSU rRNA". It matches the Rfam family "Bacterial small subunit ribosomal RNA", at positions 62 to 784 of the family's 1533-position model. Lineage: Bacteria; Pseudomonadati; Planctomycetota; Planctomycetia. The record is from RNAcentral.